RNAcentral lists this ribosomal RNA (307 nucleotides) under Pichia fermentans. Its description in RNAcentral is "eukaryotic LSU rRNA". The stretch from base 1 to 124 matches the Rfam family "5.8S ribosomal RNA", at positions 30 to 154 of the family's 154-position model. Lineage: Eukaryota; Fungi; Ascomycota; Pichiomycetes; Pichiales; Pichiaceae. The record is from RNAcentral.
GCAUCGAUGAAGAACGCAGCGAAAUGCGAUACCUAGUGUGAAUUGCAGCCAUCGUGAAUCAUCGAGUUCUUGAACGCACAUUGCGCCCGCUGGUAUUCCGGCGGGCAUGCCUGUCUGAGCGUCGUUUCCUUCUUGGAGCGGUGCUUCAGACCUGGCGGGCUGUCUCUCGGGACGGCGCGCCCAAAGCGAGGGGCCUUCUGCGCGAACUAGACUGUGCGCGCGGGGCGGCCGGCGAACUUAUUACCAAGCUCGACCUCAGAUCAGGCAGGAGUACCCGCUGAACUUAAGCAUAUCAAUAAGCGGAGGA